AUGGCUCAGGAUGAACGCUAGCUACAGGCUUAACACAUGCAAGUCGAGGGGCAGCAUUGGAGUAGCAAUACUCAGAUGGCGACCGGCGCACGGGUGAGUAACACGUAUCCAACCUGCCGCUUACUCGGGGAUAGCCUUUCGAAAGAAAGAUUAAUACCCGAUGGUAUAAAGAGUUCGCAUGUUCUCUUUAUUAAAGAAUUUCGGUAAGCGAUGGGGAUGCGUUCCAUUAGAUAGUUGGCGGGGUAACGGCCCACCAAGUCUACGAUGGAUAGGGGUUCUGAGAGGAAGGUCCCCCACAUUGGAACUGAGACACGGUCCAAACUCCUACGGGAGGCAGCAGUGAGGAAUAUUGGUCAAUGGACGAGAGUCUGAACCAGCCAAAAGUAGCGUGAAGGAUGACUGCCCUAUGGGUUGUAAACUUCUUUUAUAAGGGAAUAAAGUGAGGGACGUGUCCCUUUUUGUAUGUACCUUAUGAAUAAGGAUCGGCUAACUCCGUGCCAGCCGCGGC
Molecule: ribosomal RNA, 508 nt
Filed under: uncultured bacterium
Lineage: Bacteria
Description: bacterial SSU rRNA
Rfam family: Bacterial small subunit ribosomal RNA
Source: RNAcentral